Molecule: transfer RNA, 64 nt
Filed under: Fowlea piscator (Checkered keelback)
Lineage: Eukaryota; Metazoa; Chordata; Lepidosauria; Squamata; Natricidae
Description: tRNA-Thr
Source: RNAcentral
GCUCAAGUAGCUUACCUUAAAGCAUUGUUCUUGUAAACCAAAGCCGGACCAUGUCCCUAGAGCA